GCCACAGGUGUCAUGUGAAAAUGCACGGCUCGCCUGGUCCUAGAAACAACUCUGAAGAUUCUAGCUUUCAUUUAUCUAGCACAGGGGUUCUCAUCCAUAAUCCUCAAGUUGUGAACUUCUUUAAUCAUGCUGAGUUUGCUGGAUACCCCUCCUAUACACCUCUACAUCACACAAGCCAAUAGAUCAGCAUUAUGGCUCACCCUGCGUUCCUCAAGGACACCAUUAUUUAAAGUGCCUGCUCUUGUGGAGUCAUUGAGAACACCAAAAUAAGCAGCAGGGCUGUCUGGCUAUCAGUGCAUGACAGGGAAAACUGAAGGUGUGGAUGCAGGCCUAUUGGCAGAAUGGAUUUAAUGUCAGAUAGGAGCUAUGGAAGACGCGAGCUGUUAGCAGUCCCUGAGGGUCGGAUGUGAGAAACACAGCCUUGUUAUCAUGCCAAAUUGUGUUUACUGCAGUCUACUUCCCACCGCUGCUCGUCUUAAUAACAGAAUUAUACCUGGAACGACUUAAUGCUAUCCUCUAACAAGACCUGUUCAUUCGAAUGAUUGCUCCUGUCCAGAAUGAAAAGCCAACAAGGAAUAAUAUCGUAAAUUGGAGAGGAUAUUAAUCAGCGACGUGAGAUGGCAAACUUGGUUAAAAAUUAGCUUUGCCUCACCUAUGUAUGGAGAAAAUAACUCAAUGUAUGUAUACCAGUGAUCCAUCAUUCUGGGAAGGAAAAAAGGAAUUUGUUCUAAUCACUUAAAACUCCCAAACUGAAUUGUACAUACC
Pseudophryne corroboree (corroboree frog) is the source of this 765-nucleotide long non-coding RNA. RefSeq lists it as uncharacterized. Lineage: Eukaryota; Metazoa; Chordata; Amphibia; Anura; Myobatrachidae. The record is from RefSeq and is a predicted model, not a curated record. The transcript has 3 exons.